ACGAACGCUGGCGGCAUGCCUAACACCUGCAAGUCGCACGAGACCUUCGGGUCUAGUGGCGCACGGGUGCGUAACGCGUGGGAAUCUGCCCUUGGGUUCGGAAUAACAGUGAGAAAUUACUGCUAAUACCGGAUGAUGUCUUCGGACCAAAGAUUUAUCGCCCAGGGAUGAGCCCGCGUAGGAUUAGCUAGUUGGUGGGGUAAUGGCCUACCAAGGCGACGAUCCUUAGCUGGUCUGAGAGGAUGAUCAGCCACACUGGGACUGAGACACGGCCCAGACUCCUACGGGAGGCAGCAGUGGGGAAUAUUGGACAAUGGGCGCAAGCCUGAUCCAGCAAUGCCGCGUGAGUGAUGAAGGCCUUAGGGUUGUAAAGCUCUUUUACCCGGGAUGAUAAUGACAGUACCGGGAGAAUAAGCUCCGGCUAACUCCGUG
RNAcentral lists this ribosomal RNA (432 nucleotides) under uncultured bacterium. Its description in RNAcentral is "partial 16S ribosomal RNA". It matches the Rfam family "Bacterial small subunit ribosomal RNA", at positions 29 to 507 of the family's 1533-position model. The record is from RNAcentral.